Molecule: long non-coding RNA, 2227 nt
Organism: Cyanistes caeruleus (blue tit)
Lineage: Eukaryota; Metazoa; Chordata; Aves; Passeriformes; Paridae
Source: RefSeq, a predicted model, not a curated record
UUUUUCUUAUUUUAUUGAAGAGCAACAGUUGUGACAAUAAGGAAGAGGCCUAUGAGACAGAAGGUCAAGUAGAAUUUUAACUUCAGUAACUAAAGUUCAUAUCCUUAAAGCUCAGAAUCUGAGUGCAGCAUAAGUAUUGUGCAGUUACCCAAGUUACACGGACGAGCAGCCACAGUUUGGGAGGAAUAAAUGUCAAAUGAAACCUUGAAUUUAGGGGGAUGGCACAGUGGAAAUCCCAAUCAUGGGAAACAUCCUUGUGGAGGUUGUAUGGUUUUGGGUAUUACCCAGCCCUCCAAACAAAUUUCUCAUGGAUUUGCCUGGCUGAAUUCCAAGCCCUAUUCUGGGGCUCGCUGUGAUGCCGAAGCCAGACUGUGUCACAGUGCAAAAACCUGAAGACGUCACAUCUGUUUGAAGUGGCCAUUACACACCUAAACUGAGGUUACGGAAUCAUACAUGGCUCAUGUUCAGCCUGAGGAGAGAAGGGUUCAGGGAGACCUUAGAGCCCCUUCCAGUACCUAAAGAGGCUUCAGGAGGGCUGGAGAGGGACUUGGGACAAGGGAUGGAGCUACAGGAGCAAUGGCUUCCCUCUGCCAGAGGACAGGGUUAGACGGGAUAUUGGGAAGGAACAAGUGGUCAGGCUCUGGCACGGAUUGCCCACAGAAAUUGUGGCUGCUCAUCCCUGGAAAAAUGGAGGGGAUGCGUCCCAAGGCCAGAUUGGAUGGAGAUUGGAGCAUCCUGGGAUAAGAGAAUUCCCUACAGGGAAUGGAAUGAGAUGGGCUUUAAGGUUCCUUCCUAAUCAAACUGUUCUGGAAUUCUAUGAUUCACAAUCCUGUGGAUUGUGAGUGGGAAGAGCCAUGGGCACAGCAGUCAUCCCAGAGGGCUUGUGCCACGGCUCGGAGCGCUCCCGAUCCGUGAGGGGAUCCACGCGUGUCCCCGAUCCGUGAGGGGAUCCGCGCGUGUCCCAAAUCCCUGAAGGGAUCCGCGCGUGUCCCAAAUCCCCGAGGGGAUCUGCGCGUGUCCCCGAUCCCCGAGGGGAUCCGCGCGUGUCCUAAAUCCCUGAAGGGAUCCGCUCGUGUCCCAAAUACCUGAAGGGAUCCGCGCGUGUCCCCGAUCCGUGAGGGGUUCCCGAGGGACGGCCGCGCCCGCCGCCGCCAGAGGGCGCCCGCGCUCAGCAGCCUGGGCCUGAGGUGGCGGGAGCGGGGCUGGGUGGGACACCGGGAUCCGGCAUUCCCUUCGCCAUUCCCGGGGCCGCCCGGGUUCCCCAUUCCCUCCCCAUUCCCGGGGCCGCCCGGGUUCCCCAUUCCCUCUGCCACUCCCGGGGCCGCCGGGGCAGCGCCGCAGAGCUCCGCAAACAGCCUGGACACGGCAGCCCAGGAGUUUUCCCCUUUCUCCUGCACCUCAUGUAGAAAGGGGGUACGUGAGGGCACAGCGGCUCGUGGUACAGCUCAGAGUUGUUUUUUUCCGGAAUAUUGGAACAGCAGUCAGCUCUCCGUUCAAAUUGGCAAGAAACGGUGAAUAGAGAGGUUUAUGGUUGAAAGCUCUUGUGCAUUCCUGGAGAAGGGAAAUUUAAACACACCACUCGCUAUUUCAGGAGAAGAGGGAAAGGCAAGACUUCGUUCUUCUCCUGACUGUGUCCAGCUCUAUGCCAUAAUUUGAAAAUGGUGUUUGCAAACAUUUUCAACAUCGACUGAACAAACCAGACCACGGAUACUUUGUUCAAUGUGCAAGGCUCGCCACCAGCAGAACCCACACUUCUGCAGGGACAGAUGCACUGGUCAGACCAGGUGACUGCAUCAGCAGAAGCUGCACACACACAGCUCCAGGAGAAAAAUCAGGGAGAUUGACUAGCCUCUCCAAUUGAUAACAGUGACAGAAACCAGAGCAUCAGAGAAGAAUUUAUUGAUCCCUCAUUGUCAGGGAAUGUGAAAAAAUAGGAUGAAACCACAAGAAGAAAUAAAAUAUAUUGACCUAAUCUACAUGACGUCAUACAGACAAGUCAGAGAUUAAAACCAAACAAGAGAGUUUCUGAGUGAUAUGAAAAACUCAUAGGAAUGUUUGAAUAAUGUGUAAAUUCAUGAACAUGCAUGUAACCCCAGCAAUGUAACAGUAUAUAGAGAAUCUUGUUUUAGAUUAAAGGUGUGCUUUUUAGCCAAUCACCAAAAACACCCCAGUGCUGGAUAUUUGUCCUUUUUUAUCCCCUUAUUAAAGUUUUAAAAAUUCUAAAGAA